GCCUAGUUAGCUUAGUUGGUAGCGCGUCUGCCUUGUAAGCGCUAGGCCGCGGGUUUGAUUCCCGCCCGGGCC
Molecule: transfer RNA, 72 nt
Filed under: Diaphorina citri (Asian citrus psyllid)
Lineage: Eukaryota; Metazoa; Arthropoda; Insecta; Hemiptera; Psyllidae
Rfam family: tRNA
About the family: Transfer RNA (tRNA) molecules are approximately 80 nucleotides in length. Their secondary structure includes four short double-helical elements and three loops (D, anti-codon, and T loops).
Source: Rfam by way of RNAcentral